AGUGGCGAACGGGUGAGUAACGCGUAAGUAACCUGCCCUCAAGUAGGGGAUAACUCUGAGAAAUUAGAGCUAAUACCGUAUGUGGUGGUAGGGGUAAUGCCCUAUUACUAAAGCCUUAGGGCGCUUGGGGAGGGGCUUGCGUCCGAUUAGCUAGUUGGUAGGGUAACGGCUUACCAAGGCGAUGAUCGGUAGCUGGUUUGAGAGGACGGCCAGCCACACUGGGACUGAGACACGGCCCAGACUCCUACGGGAGGCAGCAGCAAGGAAUAUUGUGCAAUGGGCGAAAGCCUGACACAGCGACACCGCGUGGGGGAUGAAGGCCUUCGGGUUGUAAACCCCUUUUCUCAGGGAAGAAUAAUGACGGUACCUGAGGAAUAAGUCUCGGCUAACUACGUGCCAGCAGCCGCGGUAAGACGUAGGAGGCGAGUGUUAUCCGGAUUUACUGGGCGUAAAGAGGGCGUAGGCGGCUUUUCAAGUCGGAUGUAAAAUCUCCUGGCUUAACUAGGAGGGGUCAUUCGAUACUGUUAGGCUAGAGGGCAGCAGAGGGAGGUGGAAUUCCCGGCGUAGUGGUGAAAUGCGUAGAUAUCGGGAGGAACACCAGUGGCGAAGGCGGCCUCCUAGGCUGUUUCUGACGCUGAGGCCCGAAGGCGUGGGGAGCGAACAGGAUUAGAUACUCUGGUAGUCCACGCUGUAAACGAUGGAUACUAGGUAUGGGGGGUAUUGACCCCCUCCGUGCCGAAGCUAACGCG
Molecule: ribosomal RNA, 749 nt
Filed under: uncultured bacterium
Lineage: Bacteria
Description: bacterial SSU rRNA
Rfam family: Bacterial small subunit ribosomal RNA
Source: RNAcentral